GUUUGUCCCACUGGUUUGUUGUGUUCAUUCUUGCCUUUGUUUUCCAGUUUGUGAAUGCAAAUCAAACGUGACACAAUGCUAGGAAAUUGAAAACGUUUUUCAUUUCAAUCCAAUUAACGUUUUUGGGUUAAUGCAACAGCGUUGCGUCGUUUCCCUCUGUUCAGUCAGUCACACCCCAUCCCUCUCUGCCCCUCCGGUCUGGUCUGGUCUGGUCGGCCAGCAGAAACCGCCCCUUCCCCUACCACCAAACGGAAGUCGGGAUCAUAACCAGUUCUUUGUUCGAGUUUAAACAAAACAAAAAAAUGCACGACUUGAUUUUCCCCAUAUACCCUGUAAAGUAGGGUAUUGGGACUUUUAGCAAAGAAUUUUUGUCACAAUCGCCACUGUACGAUCACUAUACGAUACAUAGGACCGUCAGAAACAAAUCAUUCCAAAAACAAGAGAAAAAACUCAAAAUCUAUAAAUCUUCAAGUGUAUCCCACACUUCGAUUCGCUAGAGACCCGCCUUACUUUCUGGUUUGAUGGUAUUUCUUGUGUUUUUCAUGGAGCGUUGAUUUUUCCCCUCCCCACUUUCAAUAAUUAAAAUGCACAGCCACGAAGGCAAUCAAGCGGCGGGAUACACACAGCGAAUAAACAUAAAGAAAAAACAAAAAAAAAACCUGACCAAGUAAACUAUAUUUUGUGUAGGAUAGAAGAUAUAUAUACUUUUAUGAAUGAAAAUCCGAGGCAAUGGAAAUGAAAACAAAAGCACAAACAGCAGGGAGAAAUCUUAAUUACAUUAGAAUGGAAUAUACGAGUAAUCUAAACGCCUGCCAGCUGUUCAUUAAGCUCGAACGAUGGAAACACACAAAAUUACAGGGCCAUUCAUCAACUGGCGGCACUUUCAACAGCAGGCAAUGGAGAUCUGGAAUGGAAAAUACCUCUGGUAUGGCGGAACAUUCCUCAGAUAGCGUGCUCAUGCCUAUCGACUAUUCCGUUUAGUCGAGCAUACCCAGCAGAACGACAGACCAUUCAUCAGUUUGACGUCAAGAAAAAAAAAAA
Long non-coding RNA from Drosophila miranda, 1041 nucleotides. RefSeq lists it as uncharacterized. Lineage: Eukaryota; Metazoa; Arthropoda; Insecta; Diptera; Drosophilidae. The record is from RefSeq and is a predicted model, not a curated record. The transcript has 2 exons.